GAAUGUAACCAGAUUCGCCUGCAGGGCAAGGAGAAGGAACCUUUUUCAUCAGUCUUCAAGAUAAUUAGGUGAUGGAGAUGCUCUACAUAGCUCAUGCUGUCCUAGAAGACACUACCUAGACAAAGCUUGCCCACACCUCAUGGAUCUACCUAGAUAGCCUGCUCAGGGCUAGGAUUAAAGUGUGCAAACCCACAAGGACCAAAACUGAUUGUUUCCUAUAACUAGCAAUAUUCACUUUAGAUACUUUUCUGCUUGCAUCCAUUUCUGUCUGGAGCCAUAAUGGGACAAGCUAAAAACUAGCAGAUGAUAUCACUGAGACUGCCCACUUCAGAUUAUUAUAUAAUCUGAGACAGGUACAUUUUAGGAAAGAUUGUUGCUCUUAAUAUGCUUUUCCUGUUAUUAGUAAGCAUAUAUAACAAUCAUUAAGUAAUAGCCCAACCUUUUGGAGUAGGUAUCUGCAGAUUUAGGAAGAUGUAUUGUUGUGUAAUGAUGCUAUACAGACAAAUAGAUGGCUUUUUAAGUCUUUA
Molecule: non-coding RNA, 527 nt
Organism: Rattus norvegicus (Norway rat)
Lineage: Eukaryota; Metazoa; Chordata; Mammalia; Rodentia; Muridae
Source: RefSeq, a predicted model, not a curated record